Long non-coding RNA from Hordeum vulgare subsp. vulgare (domesticated barley), 464 nucleotides. RefSeq lists it as uncharacterized. The transcript is spliced from 2 exons. The record is from RefSeq and is a predicted model, not a curated record. NCBI's taxonomy places the organism in Eukaryota, Viridiplantae, Streptophyta, Magnoliopsida, Poales, Poaceae.
CCUCGCCUCCCUCCUUUUCCCUCGUCGUCUAUGUUUCCUCUAUCCCCGGUCAUGGCUGCCGCCUCGGCGAGCUCACCAAGCACGCCUUCUCCAAGGCGUGGUUAGUCCUUGCCUCCCUCCUUUCCCCUCGUCGUAAAUCAUCCCGACAGAACAAGUGCUUCUUUAGUAAAAAUGCAUACCACUGUUGCUACUGUGGUGACACAACCGUGCCAUAGUUCAUGCUGAGGAAAUCCACAAGCAACAACUCAGUUGUCCACAAAAAAUUGGAGGGAAAAAGGAUCACCGUUUCAAUCGAGCCUUGUUUACAUUCACAGUUUCGUUUUCCUGUUGUUGCACCAGAAGUGUAUGCCCAUCUGUUGUUUAGGCAAGUGUUUUUACUGUUGUUGCACAGAAGUGUAUGUCCAUCUGUUGUAGCACGCUUGGGUUUUGAGGGGAUUGGGUGGCCUAAAGGACCAUGCAUGUUA